ACUCAGUCGGUGCGUUCAUUUACUCCUGAUUAAUAUACUGGAUAUGACCACAGUUUCAUUCACAUUAAGGCAAUAUUCAGGUACAGUUUUAUAAUAAAUCCAACUGUAUUAUAAACACAAACUACCUCUGGACUGCCAACAUGGAGAGACAUAUGCUGCUCAUGAUUCUCAUUGUAGUUACAGGUGGAUUUGCUGACAGAAUUGGACCAGGAGAAGGAAAUACUAAUAUAAUGAAGGGAGAAGGAGAGUCUGUGACACUGAGCUGCACAUAUGAAACUAACAGCAAUGAUAUUUGGCUUUACUGGUUCAGACAGUAUCCAAAAGGAGAACCUCAGUAUUUACUGCUCAAAGGUGCUCGAUCACAGACUUAUGAGAAUAUACCAGACCGUCGGUUUCGGUCAACAACAUCCAAAUCAUCCACUGAAUUCAUUAUUGAUAAAGCAGCUCUGUCAGAUUCAGCUCUCUAUUAUUGUGCUCUAAGAGUAGUUGCCCAGUGAUACAAAAUGCCUGAGAAGCUUUACAAAAACUCAAAUACACAAUGUGCUUUAAACAGUCUUUAAUCUAACAGCAUCAAACCACAAUUUAUUAUUUUUUUGUAAACCACAGCUCUGGAAAUACCACUGUGGCAACA
Molecule: non-coding RNA, 631 nt
Organism: Ctenopharyngodon idella (grass carp)
Lineage: Eukaryota; Metazoa; Chordata; Actinopteri; Cypriniformes; Xenocyprididae
Source: the annotation of a RefSeq genome assembly